This 497-nucleotide ribosomal RNA is filed under the name uncultured bacterium. RNAcentral describes it as "partial 16S ribosomal RNA". It matches the Rfam family "Bacterial small subunit ribosomal RNA", at positions 28 to 507 of the family's 1533-position model. The record is from RNAcentral.
GAUGAACGCUGGCGGCGUGCCUAAUACAUGCAAGUCGAGCGAACAAAUGAGGAGCUUGCUCCUCUGACGUUAGCGGCGGACGGGUGAGUAACACGUGGAUAACCUACCUAUAAGACUGGGAUAACUUCGGGAAACCGGAGCUAAUACCGGAUAAUAUAUUGAACCGCAUGGUUCAAUAGUGAAAGACGGUUUUGCUGUCACUUAUAGAUGGAUCCGCGCCGCAUUAGCUAGUUGGUAAGGUAACGGCUUACCAAGGCAACGAUGCGUAGCCGACCUGAGAGGGGGAUCGGCCACACUGGAACGGGGACACGGUCCAGACGCCUACGGGAGGCAGCAGUAGGGAAUCUUCCGCAAUGGGCGAAAGCCUGACGGAGUAACGCCGCGUGAGUGAUGAAGGUCUUCGGAUCGUAAAACUCUGUUAUUAGGGAAGAACAAAUGUGUAAGUAACUAUGCACGUCUUGACGGUACCUAAUCAGAAAGCCACGGCUAACUACGUG